Micropterus salmoides (largemouth bass) is the source of this 3903-nucleotide RNA transcript. It is a transcript of the gene named CD276 antigen-like, with no coding region annotated. Lineage: Eukaryota; Metazoa; Chordata; Actinopteri; Centrarchiformes; Centrarchidae. The transcript is spliced from 6 exons. The record is from RefSeq and is a predicted model, not a curated record.
CGACAGGUUCAGCAUACAGACAGGAAUUUGGUGAGAGAGUAAAACAAAAUGAUGGUCGGCUGUUCUGCGCGUCUGGUGGUCUGGAGUUUUAUCUGGAUGUUAGCUUCUGCAGAAGGAGAUGCUGAGGUGUCCUGUGUUUUUAUGGAGAGCUGCAUCUUACCGUGCAGCUUCCAGAGCGGCACUGAUGUAGUCAUCCACUGGUAUCAUGUGACAACAGGAAACACUCCUGUCCACUCCUACUACAACAACCAAGACCAGCUGGGACACCAGGGCCAGCGCUUCAGAGGCAGGACGUCACUGUUCAAGGACCAGAUCUCUGGAGGAAACGCCUCGCUCCAGCUGACUGGGGUCCAGGUUCAGGACCAGGGAAGAUACAAGUGCUUCACCAGCACCAUCAGAGGCAACAAGGAUUCAUUUAUCAACCUACAAGUGGACGCUCCGGUCCAUAAAGUCGACAUGGAGCAGGAAGAAAACAGGAUCACCUGCAGCUCAGAGGGGAUCUACCCUGAGCCUGAACUCACCUGGUCCACCAGCCCUCCGUCCAACGUGACCUUCAAGAACACAACCAGAGUCCAGCAGACCGAACAGCAGCUCUACAACAUCAACAGCUCUCUGAUACUUUCAGACAGGGUUACUGAUCUGGUCUACAGCUGCACCGUCAGCACUCGCAGGAACAGGAGGAGAGCCACUUUGAGGGAACUGAGGAGUCAAACUGGUGACACAGGUGUUAAUGAAGGUGUGGUGGUUGGAGCCAUUUUGGUUGUAGUUCUAGCAGCAGGCCUUUUGUAAAAAAAAAAUGUAAAAAGAUGAUGUGUUUUGGACAGAGAGACCAGACACAGAGCAAUGGAACUUUGUCGGGAAAGAUCAACUUGAAGAAAGGUUUGACGAGAGAGGAAGAAGCAAAAGUUUGACUCCAUAAUGAACCCCGAGCAUGGUUCGAAUUACGGGGUUUGACCCCCUCAAAGGGCAAAACAACAAUUCAGGAGGCUCUUUCUUACCUGUCAUUGUAAAUAUUACAAUAUAUUUCACAUACUGAUGCCUUAAAUUCAAGAAUCCUAAAGUAUGAUAUCUGACCUAGAAUUGGACCACACCAUGUCCUAACACGGACGUUAGUUGAACAUUAACUCGCAGCUGCUCCAUGCACAGUGCAUCACACGUUAAUGGAAACGCUGCAGUUUAAUGUCAGUAGUUAGCUAUCUAGCUUGUUUAAUACACUUAACAUUCCCGCCUUCAGAGUUUCGUAAUUAGCAUGUAUUUUACUUUAAAUGAGCUAAGUGAUGUUAGCUAGCUGAGAGCCCCCCGAGUCAUUUCAUUACCACUAUAUCCAUAUUUUAUGUAAUUGUUAGCCAACACUGGUGCUCAGGCAUGAGCAGUAAAAUAAAGGAUUAGUUAUCGUAGAUACACAUUUUAAAGCCAAUAUAGUGUUUAUUAUUUUACCUUAAAGUAUUUUGUGAGUCUUUCUACAGUAAAGAUGAUAUUUGUUUUCAGUGUAGAAUUCAGGAGUUGUACCUGGCUAGGUAAACGUUAAAAUCCAGUGUUAUUUCUAUAGUGCCAAUUCAGAACAAACGACAUCUUAUUGCACUUUUUAUAUUGAGCUAGACAGUAUUCUGUUUAAUAUCAUUUAUUUCCUAAUUCCCCAACAGUGUAUGACGACUACUUUAUUGAACGCAGAUUACAUCUUAUUUGCUAAAACUUGAAAUGAUAAUUAUAAUAAUUUUAUGAUAGUGUCUUUGGUUCUGGUUCAGUAUUGUGUGGGUCUGUUUUGAGCGGUCAUGACGGUCUGCUGUUGUGUCUGACUAUCUGGCAGUUUUGACCUCUGACUACAAAAGUUGUCAUGUGGUAUGGAGCACCAUGAACUGAUGUCAUGAAUUUGAUUUACCAUCAUCUACAGGCUGCAUACAUUAGUUAAAUAAGCGAGGAUACUGUGAGUUUUGUAUUAAAAGCCUGCGCUCUACUGGGUUUUCUUUUUGACCUGAAAAAAAAAAAGGUUGACUCCCCCUCCCGGUUGUCUCUGUAUAAUUCACAGUCUGCCCCUGAGUUACUACAAGAAGCAACAGCUGUUACGUCCUCAUGUGGCUCAGGCCCAGAGGUAAAGAGAGGAGUAACAAAUAUAAAAACCGGGCCACAAGAAACAGGAAACAGAUUACAUGCAAACAAAUAAGAUAUUUAUUAACAAACAGACCUGAAACAGGAAAAAAAGAGACACAGAAACACAAAGAACUAUUUCACUAAAAGAGAAGAUAAAUGGUUUUAACUAAAAACACUAACACACUUAACAUCCUCGCUCUUCCAUGGGAGUGUACGAGCCCACAGCACCACCAGUCCCAAGCUCACUUUUAUUUUAUUCUGAAAUCAAUCAGCUGUUUAUAACUUUGAGCACUAGACUGCUUGUGAUGAGCUCACCUGCCAAAUACAAUUUCAAUCUGUUGGUGAGGAGUUAGUUUCUGCCUGUUAGUCUGCAGAAGAUGAACCGGACAGGGAUCAGAGUCCCAAAGCUGCACGGGGGACAGAGGGACAGAGGACAGAGGGACGGCGUCCCUUAAUGUGGUGCAGCAACCUUCAUGUUUAAAAUGUUCAGAAACAGUUUGACUUGUAUACAGAAAUUGUAUGUUGUUGUUCAUUGUUGCUUUUUAUAGACUGUAUAUUUUUUAACACAUCUAUUUUUUUACCAUUUGUAAACAUAACUGUUCUGUUUAUAUUUGUUUACAAUCUGUUCAGCUGGAGGUCUGUAAAAUGUUCUGUGUGCAACAUCAAGAGCAACUUAAAUUCUUUGUAUUAGUUUGCACAGUUGUACCUAAUAAAGUGGCCACAGUGUAGCUGCUGAUUAAUUACUGUAAGUCAAUACAAAUACAGUACAAGGCUGUGUGUUUGUUGAGAUGUUUGAGGAUCAUUGAGUGGAUAAAUUGUCACCACGUCAUCAUUUUCUUCAGACUUUAUGUGACUUUUGAUAUUUCACCUGUGAGGCUGGAGUCAUGUUUUCAGAAUCAGCUUCAGUGGCCAGAUAUGUGUUCACAUACGAGGAAUUUGACUCCGGUCUCAUAUUGUUCUCGAUGUGCGUACACAGAAGAAGCAUAAAAAAACAGCUCAACAAACAACAGAACAAACACCAUAAACUAAAACAUUUGUACACAGAGAGUGUUAUGAGGUGAAAAAGGUGCUGGAAUAAAUAUUUUGUGCAGGUGUUAUUAUGAACAUUUUCUGUGCUACAGUUACAAUUACUACUAGUACUACUCUACUGUACUUUUUGUGUUGUCCAAACUAAAAAAUCAUGUUUUUUAUAUUUUGACUUCAUUUAGCUGACGCUUUUAUCCAAAACGACUUCAAUUGCUAUAGAUGUCAGAGGUCACACGCCUCUGGAGAAACUAGGGGUUAAAGGGAUACUUUGUGAUUCUUAUCCAAUACAAUUUUUAUUAAAUUCUGCAAAUAUUUCCUACAUUGCUAUUACAUAGCAAAACUGUUUUUUUUAAACCUCAAAAUAAUAUUUUCUUUUAAAAUUAGCUGUAGCUGUUUUAGCUGUUUUUCCACCGGUUUGCAAACCUAUUACACAAGUUACAUGCACAACAAAGAUUUAUAACACAAUAAAGCAAAGUGAAAAUGCCAAAAAACAUCUACAACAAAACACUGAGGGUCUGGAUUUAACCAUAGACUGCCUGGUUGUCACAUGGGGUUUGAAGCUGGCAGAUGCUGAGCCUUCACUGAUUGGUUUCUGUACUGCACUUUUAUUUUCUUUUGUUUCACUUUGGACAAUUUACAACGGCGCUGUAACUGUGCUUCUGGUCUGUAAUUUUAAUUUAUUUAAUUUGAUCAAAUUUUAUUGUAUCUUAAUUGAUUUUGAAUUGCCUCUGUGUUUGAAAUGUUCUCUAUAAAUAAAGCUGCUUUGCCUAAAUAUUAAAUUAUUUUGCU